GGCAGGCGGACAGCCAAGUUGGACGUGAAAGCUCCCGGCUUAACUGGGAGAGGGCGUACAAGACUGGCUGACUGGAGGGCAGAAGAGGGGCAUGGAAUUCCGGGUGGAGUGGUGAAAUGCGUAGAGAUCCGGAGGAACACCAGAGGCGAAGGCGGUGCCCUGGGCUGCACCUGACGCUGAGCCGCGAAAGCCAGGGUAGCGAACG
RNAcentral lists this ribosomal RNA (205 nucleotides) under uncultured bacterium. Its description in RNAcentral is "partial 16S ribosomal RNA". It matches the Rfam family "Bacterial small subunit ribosomal RNA", at positions 570 to 774 of the family's 1533-position model. The record is from RNAcentral.